RNAcentral lists this ribosomal RNA (464 nucleotides) under uncultured bacterium. Its description in RNAcentral is "partial 16S ribosomal RNA". It matches the Rfam family "Bacterial small subunit ribosomal RNA", at positions 339 to 795 of the family's 1533-position model. The record is from RNAcentral.
CUACGGGUGGCUGCAGUGAGGAAUUUUGCGCAAUGGGGGAAACCCUGACGCAGCAACGCCGCGUGAGCGAAGAAGGCCUUCGGGUCGUAAAGCUCUGUCAAGUGGGAAAAAAAUUCUUUGAUGAACAGUCAAAGGACUUGAUGGUACCACUGGAGGAAGCACCGGCUAACUCCGUGCCAGCAGCCGCGGUAAUACGGAGGGUGCAAGCGUUGUUCGGAAUUACUGGGCGUAAAGAGCGUGUAGGCGGUUUGACAAGUCAGAUGUGAAAGCCCCGGGCUCAACCCGGGAAGUGCAUUUGAAACUGUUUCACUAGAGUAUGGGAGAGGAGAUUGGAAUUCCUGGUGUAGAGGUGAAAUUCGUAGAUAUCAGGAGGAACACCCGUGGCGAAGGCGAUUCUCUGGACCAAUACUGACGCUGAGACGCGAAAGCGUGGGGAGCAAACAGGAUUAGAUACCCCUGUAGUC